RNAcentral lists this ribosomal RNA (253 nucleotides) under uncultured bacterium. RNAcentral's name for it is "partial 16S ribosomal RNA". It matches the Rfam family "Bacterial small subunit ribosomal RNA", at positions 524 to 776 of the family's 1533-position model. The record is from RNAcentral.
UACGAAGGGGGCUAGCGUUGCUCGGAAUCACUGGGCGUAAAGGGUGCGUAGGCGGCUUUGUAAGUCAGAGGUGAAAGCCCGGAGCUUAACUCCGGAAUUGCCUUUGAGACUGCAUCGCUUGAAUCCAGGAGAGGUGAGUGGAAUUCCGAGUGUAGAGGUGAAAUUCGUAGAUAUUCGGAAGAACACCAGUGGCGAAGGCGGCUCACUGGACUGGUAUUGACGCUGAGGUGCGAAAGCGUGGGGAGCAAACAGG